CGGCCCAAACUCCUACGGGAGGCAGCAGUGGGGAAUAUUGCACAAUGGGGGAAACCCUGAUGCAGCGACGCCGCGUGAGUGAGGAAGUAUUUCGGUAUGUAAAGCUCUAUCAGCAGGGAAGAAAAUGACAAAUACCUGACUAAGAAGCCCCGGCUAACUACGUGCCAGCAGCCGCGGUAAUACGUAGGGGGCAAGCGUUAUCCGGAUUUACUGGGUGUAAAGGGAGCGUAGACGGAAUUGCAAGUCUGAUGUGAAAAUCCGGGGCCCAACCCCGGAACUGCAUUGGAAACUGUAUUUCUAGAGUGUCGGAGAGGCAAGUGGAAUUCCUGGUGUAGCGGUGAAAUGCGUAGAUA
RNAcentral lists this ribosomal RNA (353 nucleotides) under uncultured bacterium. RNAcentral's name for it is "bacterial SSU rRNA". It matches the Rfam family "Bacterial small subunit ribosomal RNA", at positions 327 to 696 of the family's 1533-position model. The record is from RNAcentral.